This 316-nucleotide ribosomal RNA is filed under the name uncultured bacterium. RNAcentral's name for it is "bacterial SSU rRNA". It matches the Rfam family "Bacterial small subunit ribosomal RNA", at positions 28 to 337 of the family's 1533-position model. The record is from RNAcentral.
GACGAACGCUGGCGGCGUGCCUAACACAUGCAAGUGGAGCGACGAACCGGGCUUCGGCCCGGGGCAAAGCCGCGAACGGGUGAGUAACACGUGGGUAACCUGCCCUGAUGAUCGGGACAACCCGGGGAAACUCGGGCUAAUACCGAAUGUGCCCUCCGGCCUCAAGGCCUCUGGGGAAAGGAAGCUUCGGCCUCCGCAUCGGGAUGGGCCCGCGGCCCAUUAGCUUGUUGGUGAGGUAAUGGCUCACCAAGGCAACGAUGGGUAGCUGGUCUGAGAGGACGAUCAGCCACACUGGGACUGAGACACGGCCCAGACU